AUUCAUGGGAACAAACAUUUUCUUUUUUCACCCACUUAUACUGUGCUUAGUGUUAGGGAUACAAACAGAAAUAGGACAUCAUCUUUGCCCUCAAGGUUAAGGGGAAAACAUAGUUCCAAAUAUUUAAAUCAAAAGUAAAACCAGACGUUCAUGUGUUUGUCUUUUUUCUUAACAUGUUAAGCUAAUUGAGAACUUAGAUUCCAUGUGGUAUGUAUAUAUUUGUAUAGGUUUGUUUAUAUAUGUACUAUAUAUUCUGCAAAGAGAAUAUGGUAUAGUAAAUAAGACUUGGGUUCAAAUCUUGGCUCUACCUUUUAUUUGCUCCAUGAUCUUAUAUGAAUAAUUUAACUUCUGUGAGUCUUAGUUUCCAUUAUUUAUAAAAUGUGAGUGAGAGUACCUACCUCACUGGACUUUAUAAGGAUUAAAUGAGAUAACAUGGAGUUCCUGUCAUGGCGCAGUGGUUAAUGAAUCCGACUAGGAACCAUGAGGUUGCAGAUUCGAUCCUUGGCCUUGUUCAGUGGGUUGAGGAUCUGGCGUUGCCAUGAGCUGUGGUGUAGGUUGCAGAUACGGCUCGGAUCCCACGUUGCUGUGGCUCUGGCGUAGGCAGGUGGCUACAGCUCUGAUUCGACCCCUAGCCUGGGAACCUCCAUAUGCCACGGGAGCAGCCCUAGAAAAGGCAAAAAGACAAAAAUAAAUAAAUAAAUAAAUGAGAUAACAUAAUGCACCUGAAUAGCCUGGCAGGCAUUCACUCCUCCGAUGUGUGGGUGGAGUCAGAAUGUAAAGUAGGGCUGGCGGUUUCCUUUUAUUGUGGAGAGAUCAAGCGCACACACACUCUGAAGCCAGACUCUUUGGUUUAAAAUCCCAGCUCUAUCAUUGACUAGCUGUGUGACCUCGACUAUAAAGUGAGGAUAGUCAUCAUCAUUAGAGUCAUUACAAAGAUUAUAUGAGUUAUAUACGCUAACGCACGUAGCAUGCUUAGAUGGGUGCCUGACACCUGGUAAAUGCCAUAUAAUUGUUGACUAUAAUUGCAUAUCCCCCUAAACUUGUAGUUUUUCUAAAAGAAAAUAUUAUGGACAUUUUAGUUAUAUUAACUAAUAGAGUUAUAAGGAUAUUAACUAAACUUAGUUUCUCAACAUAAGGUAGGGCAGCUGCUAUUACAAUAUGAUAUAAUGAAACCACCAGUGCCCUAGGCUGAUCCACAUUUAUAAUAAGGUACUGCUGCUGUGAGCUGGUAUCUUCCUCUGUGAAAUAGCCACACUCUUCUCUGCCCCACACAGGAUUCUUUUAUCGUCAACAUAGUAAGAAGUACAAGUUUCACAGAUGAUCUAGGUUUGAAUCCCAAUGAGUCACUUAAUUCUUUCUUUCCCUUCAUUAUACAUAUUUUUUUUUUAAUGAAGAAAAGUGAUUUCUAUAACCCUCACUACAGACAUGAGUGAUUUCUCUCUCCAAGGUCAGAGAGAGCUGUUUUCAUUUAGGAAAAUAUUCUAACAGUAGGUGAGAAAUGCAAGUGGGAUCUCAGCGCAUGUACGAAAGGGGAAAAUUUAAUUCAACUGUGCUUAAUGGAGAAAUAAACAGAUUAGAGGUGAGGGAGAACAUGCGGGAGGGAAGAGAGGAAAAUAGGGUGAGUGGACAAGGCGGGAAACUAGGGCCUGUGGAGAGAGUUAGUCAUGGGAACUCUAAGGUGAACUAGUAAAGAACUUUGAGGAAAAGGGAUGUCUAAUAUUUAAGCCUAUGUUUGUUUGCAUUUAUUUGAUGUAAACCUCCUUUCCUUCCCCAAGACUUAACUGAAGUCUGGUCUGUCUGUAAGUGAAUGAGUGGGGAAUAAAGAGCCAGCGUGGGAAGUGUGGCAUACCCCCAGUCACUUCUUCAUGAUAACUUGUGUGGAGCUGAGAGCAUCACGUGGCAAUGACAAUAGAGUUGGAAUUUCAUGUAGUAACAAGGAGCAAAAUGCAUGGUGGUCCAGAGAAGUCCCUUCUAUACCGUAUUAGAGGGAGGUGACCUUGGAGGGAGGCUAUGAAAAAAAUUAUAUCUAUUUCCUAAUGUUACAGAAAAGGUUAACUCUGAAGUAUGUCAUAGAUAGGGUUUCCAAAUAAGACUCCUAUACGGGGCUUUUUUUUUCUCUCUCUCUUCCUUAAUUGAUUCAGCAAAUAUUCAUAGAGUGCCAAAUAAGUGCCAGGCACUAUUUGAAGUCCUGGGAACAUAGCAGGAAACAGAACAGACAAAAAUCCCUGCUCACAGAACUUAGUUUUGGAAAUUGUGAAGAUGGGGAGACAAGAGAGAGUGUAUUAAGUGCAUAUGUCAGAGGGCAGUCGGAGUUACCAUCGUGGCUCAGUGGUUAACGAACCCCACUAGCAUCCAUGAGGACAUGGGUUCAAUCCCUGGCCUAACUCAGUGGGUUAAGGAUCCAGCAUUGCUGUGAGCUGUGGUGUAGGUCGCAGACGGCAGCUCAGAUCUCCUGUUGCUGUGGCUGUGGCAUUGGCUGGCGGCUACAGCUCCAAUUUGACCACUAGCCUGGAAACCCCCUUAUGCCGCGGGUACAGCCCUAAAAAGACAAAAGACAAAUAAGAUGGGUCAGAGGGCAAUAAAUACUACCCAUCAAAAUCACAGAGAGGGGAGAAGAGGGGGUGUCAGAGCAGGGUGGUGGAGGGUAUGGUUUUAAAUAGAGGGGACAGGGGACCCCUGAUGCAAAGAUGAGUUUGAGUGGCUGUCUGGGAGGAAAACCUUUCAGGUGGAGAGAAUAGUAGACACAGGCCUUAAUCAGGGAGUGUGACUGAUGGGUUGGAAGAUCAGUGAGAAGGCAGUGUAGCUAGAGUGAGUGAGGGUAAGGUUGUAGGAGAAGGAGGCAGAGAGCUGGGAAGGGUGCGUAUUGGGUACAGGCAGAGGCUCUGAAUACUGACUACAUGUUAGAAUCACCUGGAAAGCCCCUGCUUGAUGCUGCCAACCCUGAUGUAAUUGGUCUGGGCUAGGACCUUAGCAUGGGUGAGUUUUAAAAGAGACCAAUGAGAUUCUUCUGAUAGGCAGCCAGGAUUGAGAACCACUAAUGUGAGUGAUGUAGGCAACUGAAAAGUUGCUUUCUGUGAGGGAAGGGAAGCUUUUGCAAGGUGUGGAUCACUCAUAUGUUCUGAUUUAAACUCUAAGACAAUCCCUUAAAGUUAAAUAAAACCAGUUGUAUUCAAGCCAGUUAUAGUCAGUGUAUCUUUUAAACCACUGAAAAAUCUCCCUUGAAACAGUCGGGGUAUAAAUUAAAACUGUGUUCGUGUUCAUGAAAGUAUUUGGCACAUGAUAGUUGCCAAAUAAAUGAUGGCGUAUUACCAUGUGUAAGUAUGGUUUCAUGAAAAUAUGAGAUAUCAGUGUUAUAACAAACAUUGCUUUAUGUUUAAGGCAAUGUAUUUGGUAAAAUUCUGUUAAAUAUUAUCCUCCAGUUUCUGUUGGAAAUUUAUUGAAUGGUACCUAGUGAAUUAGGUUAGAGUAUUCAUAAAUUUCUGAAUAUGAGAAAAAUAGCUUAAUGCUUAUCUACAAAACCUUGUCUGAGAUUGGAAAUUAUGCUUAUCUGUGAUAAACUGUCUGAAACUCCCAUGAGGGUGAUAAAUAACAAUGGAGGAGAUGGAAGUUAAAUGACAAAAUCUUCUCUAAACUGGGCUAAAUGCCAUUUAUAGCAAUUCUCUGUGAAAUGUUUUAUUGUCAUGUAAAUUAUAUGCCAUUUUCAAUCUGGCAGUUUUCAAAUUGCUUCUCUUUUUGUAAAAAAAAAAAAGAAAAAUUUUCUGUUAAUAAUGGAAAACAUUCUUUUCUGUUCUGGAAUGUUGAAAAAAUAGCUAUAAAAUGUGAAUUGCAAUACAGUGUUCUAAAUAUGUAGUAACUGUGGGAACUCUAUAAAACUGAAAUCCACCCAUAGUUUUCCAGAACCCAGUAUCGACAUUCACCAGGGGAAUUGGUAACCUUAAUUCCCCUAAAUAUCAUUAUUCAAAAAUACAUAUUAUAAUCAUUAAAAGAGAAAUUAAUGUAA
Molecule: long non-coding RNA, 4000 nt
Filed under: Sus scrofa (pig)
Lineage: Eukaryota; Metazoa; Chordata; Mammalia; Artiodactyla; Suidae
Description: lncRNA (ENSSSCG00000052372.1)
Source: RNAcentral